This is a non-coding RNA of Lolium perenne, 380 nucleotides long. NCBI's taxonomy places the organism in Eukaryota, Viridiplantae, Streptophyta, Magnoliopsida, Poales, Poaceae. The record is from RefSeq and is a predicted model, not a curated record.
CACCAAGUUCUUGUCAGCCCCACCUUCUGGAUGCUUAUAUAAGCUCAAGUCCAAGGAUCAGCCGGGCCGUAACCAUCCAAGGGUUCGGCGCUACGCACCAGUAGUACCUCCCAUGUUUCCUUCACCAUCCCGAUGCCGAGCUUGCGGGAAUAUGGCGGGCCCAUGUACAUACCCCGCAUAUAACACCUCCUAUGGCUCUAUCUACCUUUCUAGUAGCUCCUUCACAGAGUUACAGACUGUACCUUGUGAACUUCGUCCAAUGAUUAACCAGAUGUGUCCGCAUGAAGGAUCUUUCACUAUGCAUGGCAAUGGCAAAUUGAUGAACACCUACACGGUCUAUGAGGUGUAUGUCUACAAGACGCAGGCCAUCACAUAUUUGU